Molecule: ribosomal RNA, 253 nt
Filed under: uncultured prokaryote
Description: partial 16S ribosomal RNA
Rfam family: Bacterial small subunit ribosomal RNA
Source: RNAcentral
ACGUAGGAUGCAAGCGUUGUCCGGAUUUAUUGGGCGUAAAGCGUGCGUAGGUGGUGGUUUAAGUCUGCUGUGAAAGCCCUGGGCUCAACCUGGGAAUUGCAGUGGAUACUGGGUCACUAGAGUGUGGUAGAGGGAUGCGGAAUUUCCGGUGUAGCAGUGAAAUGCGUAGAGAUCGGAAGGAACAUCCGUGGCGAAGGCGGCAUCCUGGGCCAACACUGACACUGAGGCACGAAAGCGUGGGGAGCAAACAGGA